UACAGAGGGUGCAAGCGUUGUUCGGAAUUACUGGGCGUAAAGCGCGUGUAGGCGGUUUGGUUAGUCACUUGUGAAAUCCCUCGGCUCAACUGAGGAACUGCGAGUGAUACUGCCAAGCUAGAGUAUCGGAGGGGAUGGUGGAAUUUCCAGUGUAGGGGUGAAAUCCGUAGAUAUUGGAAGGAACACCUGUGGCGAAGGCGACCAUCUGGACGAUUACUGACGCUGAGACGCGAAAGCGUGGGGAGCAAACAGG
RNAcentral lists this ribosomal RNA (253 nucleotides) under uncultured bacterium. Its description in RNAcentral is "partial 16S ribosomal RNA". It matches the Rfam family "Bacterial small subunit ribosomal RNA", at positions 524 to 776 of the family's 1533-position model. The record is from RNAcentral.